AUGGCCGAGGGGCGUCGUGGAUCCGCGGGGACGGCGGCCGAGGCGCUCGACCUCGAGCUGCACCUCGGCUUGCCGUCCGCGCGGAUCGCGUUCGACCUCGACCUCAACGUCGACCUGUCGCUCUACGCCGGCCCGAUCCCGGUGGAGAACCUCGCGCUCGUCGUCUACGAGGGCCUGGUGGCGGCGGGUGGCGACGACGUGCCGGCGCCGGUGCCGCCCGCGGUGACCGGGGGCGCUGUUAGAGGUUUUCACCAUGUGGAUGUGUGUGUGUUCAUGAGAGAAGUAGAGAGUUGUGUGAGGCAGCUCGGGGUAGAAGAAGUAGAAGUGGCGCUGCGAGGUGAGGCGGCGCCAACAAUUGGUAUCAGAGCCAGGUUGAUCCGCGGCGGCGGCGGCGACGUGGUGGACUCCAUGGGAGGUGGAGGACGCCGACGCGAGGUGAUGGCUGGCAGGGGCGCGAUGCCGCGGGCGGCCGGUUGCGGUGCGAUGCCGCGAGAUGAAGGUGGUGCGAUGAUCGGCGUCGCGAGGACGUCAUCCACGACAAGAUGGUCCGUGGUGACCGGCGCUGCGACGGCGUCGGUUGUGGCGCGACGGACUUCAUGCGAGAUGGAGGCCGACGGCGCAAGAAGGAGGAUGGUGGCCAUGCGGUGCCGCUAUGUGAAGAUGGCGGUGCGAAGCUGCCACAAGAAGAGUCGGCGUGAUGCCGACGACGGUGGUGUGAUGCCAUCGUCAUCAUGGAAAGUUGGUGUGAAGCCAACAAAAGUUGCGGUGCGAUGCCGCUUGGCGAAGACGGCGUGAGGUUUUCACCAUGUGGAUGUGUGUGUGUUCAUGAGAGAAGUAGAGAGUUGUGUGAGGCAGCUCGGGGUAGAAGAAGUAGAAGUGGCGCUGCGAGGUGAGGCGGCGCCAACAGGCGCUGCGGUCGCGGACGUGGAGACGAGGGCCCUCGUCGUCUACGAGGGCCCCGCGGCCGGGGACGGCGUGCCGGUGCCGCCCGCGGUGACCGAGGGCGUUGCGGUCGCGGGCGUCGAGAUGGGGGCCGUCGUUGUGUACGAGGGCCCCGCGGCCGGGGACGGCGGGGUAACCCAGGUCGGGGUUUUGGCAACGCUGGACGACGAGCCGCAGGGCGAGGCCGGGCAGAUCGUCCCGGCCGGCAGCGUCGACUCUACCGCGCUGGCCCAACCGGGUCUGUGCUAUCUCCCCCUGCAGAUGCUGCCGCCGGACGACGGGAUCCCGUGGCUCCCCUGGGCAGGCAGCGGCGCACGCCAGUCGAGGCGGAGGGCCGACAUGGUGCGGGCGUGGGUGCGCGACCAGCUCCAGCACAAACAUCGCCUGCCCAGGGACCUGCCGCUGUGCUACAUCGGGGAGAAGGUCCUGUGCCGGUCCGACAUGAACCUGGGGCACGCCCGCCUCCUCCUCCCGGCCCCCGCGCGCGGCCGCCUCUGCCGAGCCUUCCUCUACCCCUUCGAGAUCGCCGCGUGCGGCUUCAACACCAACGACCCCAAGCCGAUUACGAUCCCCGGGGUGAGGGCCACGCCGACGACAUUCCCGGGCGUGCCCUUGUCCGUCUACGUCAGCAGCGGGCGCCGGGGGCGCGGCCAGUGCAAGUCUGACCGCCUGAAGCUCAACAAGUUCCAUCGCAACGACGCCACCGUCAUCAACGGUCAGGGGUACAGGAGCUUCAUGGUGGACUGCGGCCUGGAGGCCGGCGACGGCGUCGAGGUGUGGGCGUUCCGGUGGCCGCCUGGGAUCCGUCCGUGCCUUCUGAUCGCCAAGAAGGACGGCGUCCGCGCCCGCGCCCGAAACCCGUAG
This 1806-nucleotide ribosomal RNA is filed under the name Triticum aestivum (bread wheat). RNAcentral's name for it is "partial small subunit ribosomal RNA". Lineage: Eukaryota; Viridiplantae; Streptophyta; Magnoliopsida; Poales; Poaceae. The record is from RNAcentral.